GACGAACGCUGGCGGCGUGCUUAACACAUGCAAGUCGAACGGAAAGGCCCUGCUUUUGUGGGGUGCUCGAGUGGCGAACGGGUGAGUAACACGUGAGUAACCUGCCCUUGACUUUGGGAUAACUUCAGGAAACUGGGGCUAAUACCGGAUAGGAGCUCCUGCUGCAUGGUGGGGGUUGGAAAGUUUCGGCGGUUGGGGAUGGACUCGCGGCUUAUCAGCUUGUUGGUGGGGUAGUGGCUUACCAAGGCUUUGACGGGUAGCCGGCCUGAGAGGGUGACCGGCCACAUUGGGACUGGGAUGAGGCACGGAGUGCUACGGGGGGCAGCAGUGGGGAUGAGUGCACGAGGGGCGGAAGGCUGAUGCAGGAACGCCGGGUGCGGGAGGAGGGCCUUCGAGGUGGAAACCGCAGUCGCCGGGGACGGAGCGGGCGUGACGGGAAUGGGUAAAGAAGCACAGGCUAACUACGUG
RNAcentral lists this ribosomal RNA (468 nucleotides) under uncultured bacterium. Its description in RNAcentral is "partial 16S ribosomal RNA". It matches the Rfam family "Bacterial small subunit ribosomal RNA", at positions 28 to 507 of the family's 1533-position model. The record is from RNAcentral.